AUUGAACGCUGGCGGCAUGCCUUACACAUGCAAGUCGAACGGCAGCACGGGGGCAACCCUGGUGGCGAGUGGCGGACGGGUGAGUAAAGCAUCGGAACGUAUCCUGGAGUGGGGGGAUAACGUAGCGAAAGUUACGCUAAUACCGCAUAUUCUGUGAGCAGGAAAGCAGGGGAUCGCAAGACCUUGCGCUCUGGGAGCGGCCGAUGUCGGAUUAGCUAGUUGGUGGGGUAAAGGCCUACCAAGGCGACGAUCCGUAGCGGGUCUGAGAGGAUGAUCCGCCACACUGGGACUGAGACACGGCCCAGACUCCUACGGGAGGCAGCAGUGGGGAAUUUUGGACAAUGGGCGCAAGCCUGAUCCAGCCAUGCCGCGUGAGUGAAGAAGGCCUUCGGUGUAACGACUGCCACGCGUUAAGAACUCGCAGGCCCGAACAACGCCCUGCGUUGACGAAGGCGCGAGAGGAAGCCACGGCUAACUCUGUGCCAGCAGCCGCGG
This 495-nucleotide ribosomal RNA is filed under the name uncultured bacterium. RNAcentral's name for it is "bacterial SSU rRNA". It matches the Rfam family "Bacterial small subunit ribosomal RNA", at positions 29 to 520 of the family's 1533-position model. The record is from RNAcentral.